GUCUCGCCCGCUAUUCUAGGUGCCUGUUGGUUGUGAGCCAUUUCAACUGAACAGGGUAAACGGGAAGUAUGGUGUCACCAGACAAACAUGGCUGUCUAGGUUAACCCAUCGCUGCCCCCGCAACGGUAAGCAUCCUUUGAGAUGUCAGCCCGACACCGGCCUAUGAACUAGUUAUUUA
This 178-nucleotide non-coding RNA is filed under the name Pseudoalteromonas atlantica. The record is from RNAcentral. Lineage: Bacteria; Pseudomonadati; Pseudomonadota; Gammaproteobacteria; Alteromonadales; Pseudoalteromonadaceae.